UGUUACGGAAAGCUCGCUGUGCCCACAUGC
This 30-nucleotide non-coding RNA is filed under the name Mus musculus (house mouse). The record is from RNAcentral. Lineage: Eukaryota; Metazoa; Chordata; Mammalia; Rodentia; Muridae.